AUCUGGGCGGCGGAAUUCAGGAUGACGGGCGUGCUUCGCGGCGCGCGUCGGUCGUUUGAUAUUUCCGUCGCCGAUCACCCUCAGACGUCGCGACCUGUUCGCGGUCGGUCCUUGCUCGGAGGAGCCGCGAUCGAGUUCGUUGUGUGGCGCGUUUCGGCGUGUCACACGGCGAAGACGCGGAUCUCUGGCUGGCCGUCGGACAGUACGCUUACGGUGUCCGGUGUCGUCGUUUCGUACGCGCGUGCACCGGUACCGGUCAGCGACGAAUUCUUCGGGCCUCUUUCCGACCCGUCUUGAAACACGGACCAAGGAGUCUAACAUGCGCGCGAGUCGCGGGGUGUCGAGCGUACUUCGGUGCGUUCGUUACGUUGCGAAACCCGUACAUGUCGAAGGCGUAAUGAAAGUGAAUGGGGAAGAUGGUGUUCCGAGUACACGUUCCGCGAUCGUCGGUAUCGCGGCCGGACACCCGCAUUCCCGGGGCGUCUCAACGGCCCGUCGCUGAUGCGGACAGUCGUCUCUCGGGGCGGCUGUCGGUCGGCGACGAACCGA
Molecule: ribosomal RNA, 549 nt
Filed under: Selenaspidus albus
Lineage: Eukaryota; Metazoa; Arthropoda; Insecta; Hemiptera; Diaspididae
Description: LSU rRNA
Source: RNAcentral